Molecule: ribosomal RNA, 249 nt
Filed under: unidentified marine bacterioplankton
Lineage: Bacteria
Also listed under: 1 other name
Description: partial 16S ribosomal RNA
Rfam family: Bacterial small subunit ribosomal RNA
Source: RNAcentral
UCGAACGCAGUAGCAAUACUGAGUGGCAGACGGGUGAGUAACAUGUGGGAAUCUGCCUUGUGGUUCAGGACAACAUUGGGAAACCGAUGCUAAUACUGGAUAAGCCCUUACGGGGAAAGUUUUAAUGCCAUAAGAUGAGCCCGCAUUUGAUUAGUUAGUUGGUGAGGUAAUGGCUCACCAAGACAAUGAUCAAUAGCUGAUCUGAGAGGAUGAUCAGCCACACUGGGACUGAGACACGGCCCAGACUCC